Saccostrea cuccullata (small rock oyster) is the source of this 325-nucleotide long non-coding RNA. RefSeq lists it as uncharacterized. The record is from RefSeq and is a predicted model, not a curated record. NCBI's taxonomy places the organism in Eukaryota, Metazoa, Mollusca, Bivalvia, Ostreida, Ostreidae. The transcript is spliced from 3 exons.
CUCCCCUUGAAAAGAUCAAUAAUGGCGGAUAAACAAUACGGCAUGCAGUCUGGUCAUCAACAGACAGUUUUGACACCCGUGUUACCCGUAUUUCUACCAAUCACCUCUGUAACCUUUGCUGUGUUCAUCAAACAGAUGAUGGACCUCUCUACUUCCUUUUACAACAGGUGCCCCUACAGAUUCACAAAGUUCCAGUGUUGAGUUUCCAUGACCCCUAUUCAUCCAUGACAGGAAAAGGAAAAGAGUUGACAGGACUUCCCGCACUGUCCCUGGUAGCAGUUUAUGAGGGAGCCAACUGCAGUAAACAUAGCACGCUUCAUCAAAG